GGUGCUUCCUCUCCCCAGGCAGGAGCCGGGUGUGCAGACGGAAGGGCUGUGGGACGGCACCGCAGGACUGCGCAACAGAUGAAGAGGAAAGAGGCUGCGCAACUCUGGCUAUAGGGCAGCAAUGGGAGUGCUUUAAGGGACAACAAGGCACAAAGAUGGAUGACCUGGAGCCAGGCUUACGGAGGAAGGCCAGGAUGGCAGGGUGCCCAGUGUCUGCCCACCAGCCCCUCCCCCAUUCUGAGGGGCUGUCUUCAUCUGGGCCCCACUCCCCUGCUGGGAGUGAGGGACUAGGGGAGGCCACACCACCGCUGUCACGGAAGGGACAUUCCCCAGUCAUUUGGAACUAAAGGUGAGCCAGCCCAGACAGACAGAGGAUGCACCAGCAGCAGGAAGCCGAGAGGCUGCAGUUCAGUCCCCACAGCACAGCCUGGAGGAGCCAGAAGGAAGAGAAACAGGCACACACAUUGCCAGAAACAAAACUUGGGCCAGGUUGAAAGGCUGGGGUGUUUGGGGGAGGAAAUCUUCAAGGCUUUCCUGCCUGUUGCCAGCACUGUCAUCCAGGGUGCAGCUGGGCCAAUUCCUCCUCAGUUGCAAGCCCCACUGCUGGCCCAGUAACCCCUCAGAAGCUCCAGGAGGCCUAGCCCCAAGCCCAAGACUACCCGGGAUAGGGCCUGAUUCCUGGGCACUCAGAGCCCAUCUGGGAAGGAGGAGGGGGCUGCCCCAGGAGGGGAUUCCAAUGGCGAGCUGGUGGGGGAGCCAGACUUGGCCUGACCAUCUCUGUCUGUAACCCACGCCCUCGCCCCUGUUCACCUGUGUGAUCAGACUGGUGCCAGGUGGGCCUUGGGGGGCUGCUGAGUAUCCUACAGAGCAGGGAGGGAGGUCUGGCCAUCUCCCUUCAGGCAACCACGGGGCAUUCUGGGUGGCUCUCAAGUGGAGCUAGCAUAGCUAAGUGGCCUUUGGGAAGGAGGACAGAAGGACUGUGGGUGGCAGGAGCCCCCUCCUGGUGCAUAGGGUGGGGGCAGCCAGUCCAGAGGAGCCAGGAGUAGAGGGGGGGUUGGCUUGUGGCCUCUUGGCUUCUUGGCUCCUCUUCCCUCUCAGAUCUGGUGCUGCAGGGAUUUGCUCUCUUAUUCAUUCAAUAAAAACGUAUUGAACUCCUUAAGUGCGGCGUGGGGCUCCAGCAUUCAUUGCCAGUCCCUGAGUGUCUGUCUAGGUUGCAGGCCCUUCUCUCCUGGAGCUUUCCCACAGCUGCUGAAAAUGCCGCCAUUUCAGCGGGCACCACACCUGGUGGUUAUAGCCUCUCCCCACUCCCCACCCUGGGCCUGCUUCCUGGCAUGACUGUGAGGUACCUGGGAGUGAAUAACCAUAACCCAGGUGUCCUCAAACUUUUUAAACAGGGGCGUUCACUGUC
This is a non-coding RNA of Microcebus murinus (gray mouse lemur), 1408 nucleotides long. The record is from RefSeq and is a predicted model, not a curated record. Lineage: Eukaryota; Metazoa; Chordata; Mammalia; Primates; Cheirogaleidae.